AACCUGCCUGGUAGCGGGGGAUAACUAUUGGAAACGAUAGCUAAUACCGCAUAACAGUAGAUAUUGCAUGAUAUCUGCUUGAAAGGUGCAAAUGCAUCACUACCAGAUGGACCUGCGUUGUAUUAGCUAGUUGGGGGGGUAACGGGCUCACCAAGGCGACGAUACAUAGCCGACCUGAGAGGGUGAUCGGCCACACUGGGACUGAGACACGGCCCAG
RNAcentral lists this ribosomal RNA (217 nucleotides) under uncultured Streptococcaceae bacterium. RNAcentral describes it as "partial 16S ribosomal RNA". It matches the Rfam family "Bacterial small subunit ribosomal RNA", at positions 123 to 334 of the family's 1533-position model. Lineage: Bacteria; Bacillati; Bacillota; Bacilli; Lactobacillales; Streptococcaceae. The record is from RNAcentral.